UGAGAAGAGCAUCACUCAUGCAAGUUUUCA
RNAcentral lists this non-coding RNA (30 nucleotides) under Rattus norvegicus (Norway rat). The record is from RNAcentral. Lineage: Eukaryota; Metazoa; Chordata; Mammalia; Rodentia; Muridae.